RNAcentral lists this long non-coding RNA (522 nucleotides) under Panax ginseng (ginseng). RNAcentral describes it as "long non-coding RNA (PGIN_LNC003355)". Lineage: Eukaryota; Viridiplantae; Streptophyta; Magnoliopsida; Apiales; Araliaceae. The record is from RNAcentral.
UAAGUUUUAUUUUUGGAACAGAUAGUCCUGUCACUUGCUCAAAAUACAUUCAGUCGAGCCCAAAUCCUGAAAUCCCUCGUUUCACCGCCCAUUGUUGAAGGUUUAUCUUUCCUCUUUGUGCCACUGCCGAUCUACCAUCUCAGUGCCGAUUUGUAGAAAGGUGAUUAUGAUCUACCCUCAAUUUCUUAAUUCUACCAAAAAAAUUGCAAAAGGGGGCAAAGCCCUAGCUAAUUCUUCACUUGCAAUUGGAAGGCAAUGAAGUUCCUAGGAAUCCGUGAGGGCUGCUAGAUGUUGACAUGGACCAAGUGGUUUCAAGGCGCCGUGCUCGCGAGGCGUUCAAUGUUAUUCAACUCUCUCUUGAUUAUUGCUUGUUCAGGGUAAUUUUCCAAACUCAAAGUUUGAAUCUUGCUUUGUGCAUUCGAUUUGGCAUGUUUAUUUUUGUUUUGGUAUUUCAAUUCGCUGAUUGCUGCGUGUUUUGGUGACAAAUUCUACUGAGAAUGCUUUUAUGCAUCAUUAUGNNNN